RNAcentral lists this ribosomal RNA (441 nucleotides) under uncultured Porphyromonadaceae bacterium. RNAcentral describes it as "bacterial SSU rRNA". It matches the Rfam family "Bacterial small subunit ribosomal RNA", at positions 355 to 794 of the family's 1533-position model. Lineage: Bacteria; Pseudomonadati; Bacteroidota; Bacteroidia; Bacteroidales; Porphyromonadaceae. The record is from RNAcentral.
UGAGGAAUAUUGGUCAAUGGGCGAGAGCCUGAACCAGCCAAGUCGCGUGAGGGAAGACGGUCCUACGGAUUGUAAACCUCUUUUGUCGGGGAACAACAGGGGGCACGCGUGCCUUUGUGAGUGUACCCGAAGAAAAAGCAUCGGCUAACUCCGUGCCAGCAGCCGCGGUAAUACGGAGGAUGCGAGCGUUAUCCGGAUUUAUUGGGUUUAAAGGGUGCGCAGGCGGCGCGCCAAGUCAGCGGUCAAAGUUCCGGGCUCAACCCGGUGUCGCCGUUGAAACUGGCGUGCUCGAGUGCGUGCGAGGAAGGCGGAAUGCGUUGUGUAGCGGUGAAAUGCAUAGAUAUGACGCAGAACUCCGAUUGCGAAGGCAGCUUUCCAGCGCGCUACUGGCGCUGAGGCACGAAAGCGUGGGGAUCGAACAGGAUUAGAUACCCUGGUAGU